AUGCAGCGACGCCGCGUGAGUGAAGAAGUAUUUCGGUAUGUAAAGCUCUAUCAGCAGGGAAGAAAAAAGACGGUACCUGACUAAGAAGCCCCGGCUAACUACGUGCCAGCAGCCGCGGUGAUACGUAGGGGGCAAGCGUUAUCCGGAAUUACUGGGUGUAAAGGGUGCGUAGGUGGCAUGGUAAGUCAGAAGUGAAAGCCCGGGGCUUAACCCCGGGACUGCUUUUGAAACUGUCAUGCUGGAGUGCAGGAGAGGUAAGCGGAAUUCCUAGUGUAGCGGUGAAAUGCGUAGAUAUUAGGAGGAACACCAGUGGCGAAGGCGGCUUACUGGACUGUCACUGACACUGAUGCACGAAAGCGUGGGGAGCAAACAGGAUUAGAUACCCUGGUAGUCCACGCCGUA
This 402-nucleotide ribosomal RNA is filed under the name uncultured bacterium. RNAcentral's name for it is "bacterial SSU rRNA". It matches the Rfam family "Bacterial small subunit ribosomal RNA", at positions 386 to 804 of the family's 1533-position model. The record is from RNAcentral.